RNAcentral lists this ribosomal RNA (1144 nucleotides) under marine metagenome. Its description in RNAcentral is "bacterial SSU rRNA". It matches the Rfam family "Bacterial small subunit ribosomal RNA", at positions 8 to 1149 of the family's 1533-position model. The record is from RNAcentral.
AGAGUUUGAUCAUGGCUCAGAUUGAACGCUGGCGGUAGGCUUAACACAUGCAAGUCGUGCGAGAAAGUAUCUUCGGAUAUGAGUAAAGCGGCGGACGGGUGAGUAACGCGUAGGAAUCUACCUAGUAGAAGGGGAUAGCCCGGGGAAACUCGGAUUAAUACCGUAUACCUCCUUCGGGAGAAAGAGGGCCUCUCUUUGAAGCUUUCGCUACUAGAUGAGCCUGCGUAAGAUUAGCUUGUUGGUGAGGUAAAGGCUCACCAAGGCGACGAUCUUUAGCGGGUCUGAGAGGACGAUCCGCCACAUUGGGACUGAGACACGGCCCAGACUCCUACGGGAGGCAGCAGUGGGGAAUAUUGGACAAUGGGCGCAAGCCUGAUCCAGCCAUACCGCGUGUGUGAAGAAGGCCCUAGGGUUGUAAAGCACUUUAAGUUGGGAAGAAAAGUUAUUGGUUAAUACCCAAUAACCGUGACAUUACCAUCAGAAUAAGGACCGGCUAAUUCCGUGCCAGCAGCCGCGGUAAUACGGAAGGUCCAAGCGUUAAUCGGAAUUACUGGGCGUAAAGCGCGCGUAGGUGGUUUAUUAAGUUGGAUGUGAAAUCCCCGGGCUCAACCUGGGAACUGCAUCCAAAACUGAUUCACUAGAGUACGAUAGAGGGAGGUAGAAUUCACAGUGUAGCGGUGGAAUGCGUAGAUAUUGUGAAGAAUACCAAUGGCGAACGCAGCCUCCUGGAUCUGUACUGACACUGAGGUGCGAAAGCGUGGGUAGCGAACAGGAUUAGAUACCCUGGUAGUCCACGCCGUAAACGAUGUCAACUAGCUGUUGGAAAACUAUGUUUUUCAGUGGCGCAGCUAACGUAGUAAGUUGACCGCCUGGGGAGUACGGCCGCAAGGCUAAAACUCAAAUGAAUUGACGGGGACCCGCACAAGCGGUGGAGCAUGUGGUUUAAUUCGAUGCAACGCGAAAAACCUUACCUAUACUUGACAUACUUGGAAUGCUUUGUAAUGAAGCAGUGCCUUCGGGAGCCAAGAUACAGGUGCUGCAUGGCUGUCGUCAGCUCGUGUCGUGAGAUGUUCCGUUAAGUCGGAUAACGAGCGCAACCCUUACCCUUAUUUGCCAGCGAUUCGGUCGGGAACUAUAAGGGGAC